GAUGAACGCUAGCGGCAGGCCUAAUACAUGCAAGUCGAGGGGUAACGUGUUCUGCUUGCAGAAUGACGACGACCGGCGCACGGGUGCGUAACGCGUAUGCAACCUACCUUAUACAGGGGGAUAGCCCAGAGAAAUUUGGAUUAAUACCCCAUAGUACUCAUGAAUCUCAUGAUUUAUGAUUUAAAACUCCGGUGGUAUAAGAUGGGCAUGCGUUAGAUUAGCUAGUUGGUAAGGUAAUGGCUUACCAAGGCGACGGUCUAUAGGGGGUCUGAGAGGAUGAUCCCCCACACUGGAACUGAGACACGGUCCAGACUCCUACGGGAGGCAGCAGUAAGGAAUAUUGGUCAAUGGAGGCAACUCUGAACCAGCCAUGCCGCGUGUGCGAAGAAGGCGUUCUGCGUCGUAAAGCACUUUUAAAUAGGAAGAAACGCUCUUUGCGAAGAGCUAUGACGGUACUAUCAGAAUAAGGACCGGCUAACUCCGUGCCAGCAGCCGCGGUAAUACGGAGGGUCCGAGCGUUGUCCGGAAUUAUUGGGUUUAAAGGGUACGUAGGCGGAUUGAUCAGUCAGAGCUGAAAUCCUAUGGCUUAACCAUAGAACUGGCUUUGAUACUGUCAAUCUUGAGUACGGUGGAGGUAGGCGGAAUUUAUGAUGUAGCGGUGAAAUGCAUAGAUAUCAUAAAGAACACCGAUAGCGAAGGCAGCUUGCUGGACCGUAACUGACGCUAAUGUACGAAAGUGCGGGUAUCGAACAGGAUUAGAUACCCUGGUAGUCCGCACCGUAAACGAUGCUCACUCGUUGUUGGCGAUAGACAGUCAGCGACCAAGCGAAAGCGUUAAGUGAGCCACCUGGGGAGUACGAUCGCAAGAUUG
Molecule: ribosomal RNA, 871 nt
Filed under: uncultured bacterium
Lineage: Bacteria
Description: bacterial SSU rRNA
Rfam family: Bacterial small subunit ribosomal RNA
Source: RNAcentral